RNAcentral lists this long non-coding RNA (302 nucleotides) under Ornithorhynchus anatinus (platypus). Its description in RNAcentral is "lncRNA (ENSOANG00000039888.1)". The record is from RNAcentral. Lineage: Eukaryota; Metazoa; Chordata; Mammalia; Monotremata; Ornithorhynchidae.
CGUUAGCCAGCUGGAAACAGUCGCCUUCCAGUUGGGUCAUUAACAGCCCACGUUUUGUUCCCCCACUGUAGGUUAGCCCUGCUUACUCUCGUCUCCUUGGCCAGGAUCUCCCCAGCUCAACAAGCCCCGCUGAGAUCCCACCUCAAGCUGCUAAAGCCAGUUCUCCAAGCCAUCUACAAUGAGCUCCACAGCACAGUCAGAUUUGGAUGCUGAGUCUUCCAGUAAUAUAAUCCAACCAGAGGAAAGAUUGGCUGGGUCAGGUUUGAAGGCCUUACUUUUCGGGCUCCAACCCUGAAAUAAUG